GGCCCCGUAAUCGGAAAUGAGUACACUUUAAAUCCUUUUAACAAGGAUCCAUUGAAGGGCAAGUCUGGUGCCAGCAGCCGCGGUAAUUCCAGCUUCAAUAGCGUAUAUUAAAGUUGUUGCGGUUAAAAAGCUCGUAGUUGGUUCUGCGUGCCACGCUGUCGGUUCGCCGCCUGCCGGUGUAACUGGCAUGCCGUGGCAUGUCCUGUCGGUGGCGUUCGGGAGCCUCGUUAGGUGCCGGCCCUUGCCCUAAAGCUUGGUGCUCGGAGGCCGGGGGUAUACCCGUUCGCCUAUCUAUCCUACCUAGGUGCUCUUCACCGAGUGUCGAGGUAGGCCGACACGUUUACUUUGAACAAAUUAGAGUGCUCAAAGCAGGCUGAAAUCUCUGCCUGAAUAGUGGUGCAUGGAAUAAUAAAACAGGACCUUGGUUCUAUUUUGUUGGUUCUUAGGAACACAAGGUAAUGAUCAAUACGGACAGGCGGGGGCAUUCGUAUUGCGACGUUAGAGGUGAAAUUCUUGGAUCGUCGCAAGACGCACAAGAGCGAAAGCAUUUGCCAAGUAUGUCUUGAUUGAUCAAGAACGAAAGUUAGAGGUUCGAAGGCGAUCAGAUACCGCCCUAGUUCUAACCAUAAACGAUGCCAGCCAGCGAUCCGCCGAUGUUCCUCCGAUGACUCGGCGGGGAGCUUCUUCCCGGGAAACCAAAGCUUUUGGGUUCCGGGGGAAGUAUGGUUGCAAAGCUGAAACUUAAAGGAAUUGACGGAAGGGCACCACCAGGAGUGGAGCCUGCGGCUUAAUUUGACUCAACACGGGAAACCUCACCAGGCCAGGACAUUGGAAGGAUUGACAGAUUGAUAGCUCUUUCUUGAUUCAGUGGGUAGUGGUGCAUGGCCGUUCUUAGUUGGUGGAUCGAUUUGUCUGGUUAAUUCCGAUAACGAACGAGACUCUAGCCUAUUAACUAGGCGUUUUCCGGUGCCCCCGUCACCGGCGACAUUCAUUCUUCUUAAGGGGACAGGCGGCUUUUAGCCGCACGAGAUUGAGCAAUAACAGGUCUGUGAUGCCCUUAGAUGUCCUGGGCCGCACGCGCGCUACACUGAAGGAAUCAGCGUGUGCCUCCCUGGCCGAAAGGCCCGGGUAAUCCGCUGAACCUCCUGCGUGCUAGGAAUUGGGGCUUGCAAUUGUUCCCCAUGAACGAGGAAUUCCCAGUAAGCGCGAGUCAUAAGCUCGCGUUGAUUACGUCCCUGCCCUUUGUACACACCGCCCGUCGCUACUACCGAUUGAAUGAUUUAGUGAGGUCUUCGGACUGGCGGUAAUCCCUA
Molecule: ribosomal RNA, 1313 nt
Filed under: Taylorilygus apicalis
Lineage: Eukaryota; Metazoa; Arthropoda; Insecta; Hemiptera; Miridae
Description: SSU rRNA
Rfam family: Eukaryotic small subunit ribosomal RNA
Source: RNAcentral